GUCAAGUCAUCAUGGCCCUUACGCUUGGGGCUACACACGUGCUACAAUGGCCAGUACAAAGGGCUGCAAACUCGCGAGAGUGAGCGGAUCCCAAAAAGCUGGUCUAAGUUCGGAUUGUAGUCUGCAACUCGACUGCAUGAAGUCGGAAUCGCUAGUAAUCGUGGAUCAGCUACGCCACGGUGAAUACGUUCCCGGGCCUU
RNAcentral lists this ribosomal RNA (200 nucleotides) under uncultured organism. RNAcentral describes it as "partial small subunit ribosomal RNA". It matches the Rfam family "Bacterial small subunit ribosomal RNA", at positions 1184 to 1382 of the family's 1533-position model. The record is from RNAcentral.